RNAcentral lists this transfer RNA (72 nucleotides) under Camelus bactrianus (Bactrian camel). It matches the Rfam family "tRNA". Rfam says of the family: Transfer RNA (tRNA) molecules are approximately 80 nucleotides in length. Their secondary structure includes four short double-helical elements and three loops (D, anti-codon, and T loops). Further hydrogen bonds mediate the characteristic L-shaped molecular structure. tRNAs have two regions of fundamental functional importance: the anti-codon, which is responsible for specific mRNA codon recognition, and the 3' end, to which the tRNAs corresponding amino acid is attached (by aminoacyl-tRNA synthetases). tRNAs cope with the degeneracy of the genetic code in two manners: having more than one tRNA (with a specific anti-codon) for a particular amino acid; and 'wobble' base-pairing, i.e. permitting non-standard base-pairing at the 3rd anti-codon position. The record is from Rfam by way of RNAcentral. Lineage: Eukaryota; Metazoa; Chordata; Mammalia; Artiodactyla; Camelidae. RNAcentral also lists the same sequence under 2 other names.
GAGGGUAGAGCUCACUGGUGGAGCACGUGCUUAGCAUGCACAAGGCCCUGGGUUCAAUCCUGGGUACCUCCA